GUAUUGUAUUGCGUUAAACGCGGCAACAUUCCAUGAGACUUUGUUACGGUGUGUGUGUGUGUAAAUACAUAGAACCACGGCGAGGGGAUGGAACCCCCCGACCACAGAACUACAGAGGGUGCACAGGUGUGAGUGGAUGUGUAAACAGAGCGUGCACAUGCCCCGUUUGGGGACCAGCAACAACUCAUGUCAACGGUUCAGUAAUGAUCCUUCCGCAGGUUCACCUACGGAAA
Molecule: unclassified non-coding RNA, 233 nt
Filed under: uncultured fungus
Lineage: Eukaryota; Fungi
Description: sequence contains ITS1
Source: RNAcentral